UACAGAGGUCUCAAGCGUUGUUCGGAUUCAUUGGGCGUAAAGGGUGCGUAGGCGGCGCGGUAAGUCGGGUGUGAAAUCUCGGAGCUUAACUCCGAAACUGCAUUCGAUACUGCCGUGCUUGAGGACUGGAGAGGAGACUGGAAUUUACGGUGUAGCGGUGAAAUGCGUAGAUAUCGUAAGGAAGACCAGUGGCGAAGGCGCGUCUCUGGACAGUUCCUGACGCUGAGGCACGAAGGCCAGGGGAGCAAACGGG
This 253-nucleotide ribosomal RNA is filed under the name uncultured bacterium. RNAcentral's name for it is "partial 16S ribosomal RNA". It matches the Rfam family "Bacterial small subunit ribosomal RNA", at positions 524 to 776 of the family's 1533-position model. The record is from RNAcentral.